Molecule: unclassified non-coding RNA, 240 nt
Filed under: Hevea brasiliensis (rubber tree)
Lineage: Eukaryota; Viridiplantae; Streptophyta; Magnoliopsida; Malpighiales; Euphorbiaceae
Source: RNAcentral
AUGACAAAUGCUUAUGUUUGCCACUUUAAUGUUCAGCCUAUAUAUAAUGAACUCGACGGGCGGUCAACCCGGAAGAUGAAUCAAGUGGGGAGAAUUACAACUGCUCUUUGUAUUACUGUUUAUGCUUCAACUGCUGUAUCGGGUUAUUUACUCUUUGGGAAGGAUACAGAAGCUGAUGUGCUGACCAAUUUUGACAUGGACCUUGGUAUUCCUUUUAGCUCUGCGUUGGAUUAUAUUGUU